Molecule: ribosomal RNA, 483 nt
Filed under: uncultured bacterium
Lineage: Bacteria
Description: partial 16S ribosomal RNA
Rfam family: Bacterial small subunit ribosomal RNA
Source: RNAcentral
AUUGAACGCUGGCGGCAUGCCUUACAUGCAAGUCUAACGGCAGCACGCGUGCUUUCACCUGUUGUCGAGUGGCGAACGGGUGAGUAAUACAUCGGAACAUGUCCUUUAGUGGGGGUAACCCCGCGGAAAACGGAGUAAUAUCGCAUACGAUCUUCUGCUGAAAACCGGGGGCCCUCGGGCCUCCUCGCUGUGGGGUGGUCGCUGGCCGAUUAGCUAGUUGGUGGGGUAAAGGCCUGCCAAGGCGACGAUCAGUAGCUGGUCUGAGAGGACGACCAGCCACACUGGGACUGAGACACGGCCCAGACUCCUACGGGAGGCAGCAGUGGGGAAUUUUGGACAAUGGGCGAAAGCCUGAUCCAGCAAUGCCGCGUGUGUGAAGAAGGCCUUCGGGUUGUAAAGCACUUUUGUCCGGAAAGAAAUCCUUGGCCCUAAUACGGUCGGGGGAUGACGGUACCGGAAGAAUAAGCACCGGCUAACUACGUG